CAGAUGAUUUUGAACCAGAGUAGUAAAAGAUUCUUUGAAUUUUAGAGAGCUGAUGUUUGGUGGAAAUCAGUAUUCAAAUCCUUUGAACUUGCUGGGGAGUCGAUAAGUAAUGUUAUCCGUAUUUCUUGCGUUAAAAGAAGAAAAGGGCAUAGAGAAAUCUAUGAACUAAGGUGGUACCGCGUUAAUAACGUCCUUAGA
RNAcentral lists this non-coding RNA (198 nucleotides) under Bacillota bacterium. RNAcentral describes it as "Firmicutes bacterium T-box sequence". It matches the Rfam family "T-box leader". Rfam says of the family: Uncharged tRNA acts as the effector for transcription antitermination of genes in the T-box leader family. The record is from RNAcentral. Lineage: Bacteria; Bacillati; Bacillota.